UACGUAGUGUGCGAGCGUUGUCCGGAAUUAUUGGGCGUAAAGAGCUUGUAGGCGGUUUGUCGCGUCUGCCGUGAAAAUCCGGGGCUCAACCCCGGACUUGCGGUGGGUACGGGCAGACUAGAGUGUGGUAGGGGAGACUGGAAUUCCUGGUGUAGCGGUGAAAUGCGCAGAUAUCAGGAGGAACACCGAUGGCGAAGGCAGGUCUCUGGGCCACUACUGACGCUGAGAAGCGAAAGCGUGGGGAGCGAACAGG
RNAcentral lists this ribosomal RNA (253 nucleotides) under uncultured bacterium. RNAcentral describes it as "partial 16S ribosomal RNA". It matches the Rfam family "Bacterial small subunit ribosomal RNA", at positions 524 to 776 of the family's 1533-position model. The record is from RNAcentral.